This is a long non-coding RNA of Cornus florida, 323 nucleotides long. RefSeq lists it as uncharacterized. The transcript is spliced from 2 exons. NCBI's taxonomy places the organism in Eukaryota, Viridiplantae, Streptophyta, Magnoliopsida, Cornales, Cornaceae. The record is from RefSeq and is a predicted model, not a curated record.
CCUGGCCCAAGGACACCAAGGCGGUUGCCUUGGGCCUCAAAUUUUAGAGGGCCUAAUGAGGCUCACAGAGGAUGGAAAAAAACUGGUCGCCUUGGGCCUCAAAUUUUGAGGCCCAAAUUUUGAGGCCUAUAGGGUAUGGAAAAAAACAUAAAAAUAAAUGAAGUUAGGGCAAGUUUCAGACGACACAAACAAUGUCACAAUCUUCUUCGACACUCCGCAGGGCGCAGCCUCCGCUAUCGCCUCAGGUGACAAGGACACUCUUCUUAGGAUCUCGUGAGGUUAUUUGCCUUGAACUUGAAUCAAAUCAUUGCAUAUUGAGGUAA